RNAcentral lists this ribosomal RNA (151 nucleotides) under Minisyncoccota bacterium. RNAcentral describes it as "partial 16S ribosomal RNA". It matches the Rfam family "Bacterial small subunit ribosomal RNA", at positions 1 to 156 of the family's 1533-position model. Lineage: Bacteria; Bacillati; Minisyncoccota. The record is from RNAcentral.
UUUUUUUGAGAAUUUGAUCCUGGUUCAGGAUGAACGCUGGCGGCGUGCCUAAGGCAUGCAAGUCGAACGAUCCCGCAGCAAUGCGGGGUAGUGGCAGACGGGUGAGUAACACGUGAGAAUCUACCCAAUAGUGGGGAAUAGCUGGCCGAAA